GCACUCGUAGCUCAAUUGGAUAGAGCAUCGGUCUUCGGAACCGAGGGUUGGUGGUUCGAGCCCACUCGAGUGCA
RNAcentral lists this transfer RNA (74 nucleotides) under Burkholderiales bacterium. Its description in RNAcentral is "tRNA-Arg". It matches the Rfam family "tRNA". From Rfam's summary of the family: Transfer RNA (tRNA) molecules are approximately 80 nucleotides in length. Their secondary structure includes four short double-helical elements and three loops (D, anti-codon, and T loops). RNAcentral also lists the same sequence under 1 other name. Lineage: Bacteria; Pseudomonadati; Pseudomonadota; Betaproteobacteria; Burkholderiales. The record is from RNAcentral.